UUCCUGUUUAACAAAAACAUGUCUUUUUGAUAAAAAUUUAAAGUCUAAUCUGCCCACUGAUAAAUAUAUUAAAGGGCCGCAGUAUUUUGACUGUGCUAAGGUAGCAUAAUCAUUUGUUUUUUAAUUGAAAACUAGUAUGAAUGAUUGAAUGAAUUAUUAAUCUCUCUUAUUAAUAAGAAUAAUAAUUUAAGUUUUUAGUUAAAAUGCUAAAAUGAGUUUAAAAGACGAGAAGACCCUAUAGAUUUUUAUUUUUUUUAGAUAAUUAAAUUUAUAUGAAAUAUUUUAUUAUUAGUAAAAAUUUGAUUGGGGUGAUUAAAAAAUUUUAUUUACUUUUCUUAAAAACUGUCAUAAAUUAAUGUUUAUUUGAUCCUUAAAUAAAGAAAAAAGAUUUAAUUACCUUAGGGAUCACAGCGUUAUUUUUUUAGAAAGAACGCAUUAAUAAAAUAGACCGCGACCCCGACGUUGAAUUAAAGCCCUUUAAAAGUUGAAAUAGUAGGCAUAAA
RNAcentral lists this ribosomal RNA (503 nucleotides) under Aleuropteryx sp. N800010. Its description in RNAcentral is "partial 16S ribosomal RNA". The stretch from base 4 to 149 matches the Rfam family "Archaeal large subunit ribosomal RNA", at positions 1892 to 2081 of the family's 2987-position model. Lineage: Eukaryota; Metazoa; Arthropoda; Insecta; Neuroptera; Coniopterygidae. The record is from RNAcentral.